This is a long non-coding RNA of Talpa occidentalis (Iberian mole), 1129 nucleotides long. RefSeq lists it as uncharacterized. NCBI's taxonomy places the organism in Eukaryota, Metazoa, Chordata, Mammalia, Eulipotyphla, Talpidae. The transcript is spliced from 3 exons. The record is from RefSeq and is a predicted model, not a curated record.
CUUUUGUGCCUUAGAACCCCUUCUGUAAGGAUUGCACCUGUGGACUGGUCCUGGCUGCAAUUUGUUCAGGAAACACAGGACAUUACCCCACUCAGGGUGUCUCAAGUGUAACCUGGCACCAUGGGGACCCGCCACCCCACCGGGGGGCGGCAGAGGGCGCUCUUCUGUGCACCGACCUGCUGUGACUAGGACACCGCUUGCCAAUGCCAGCAGAGAACAGGAGCCAAGGACAGCAAGGACCAGCUCAGAGUCUAGAGAUGACUGUUCAUCAAGAAUCUGACUCAUCUGGGAUGUUUGUUUGAACCUGAUGCUUUCAGAAACAACCACUGGAGUUUUUCAAUAGAAAAGGAAGAAAAUCAAAACCCCGCCAAGUUAAUGGAAGUGAAGACCCAAAAGGGUUGCACUUACAAGGGAAAUUAUAAAUUUAGUUUUGGAUAGUAGUUUUAUUAGUGAAGUUAUUUCUGCACUAUCAGUCAGACAUAAACUCUAAGAAUGACCUUGUAUUUCUACAGCCUCUAAGGGGAACACAAUCUGCCUAAGAACAGGAUGCUGCCAGAGGAGUUGUGACGAAUCAUGAAGAUGAAUGGAUGGUCGGCAACGAAAUCUUCCACUGGCCCCAGACUGCUGGUCUUGGAAACAAUUGCUGUGGCGGCUGCUGCCUCUGUGCCCUCCUCACUCACCUCCACAAAGGACUUGUGAAUAAUUUUUGAUACGAAAAUAUCUCUGGUUUCUGUCAUGCCAGACAGAUCAGCCUUGCUCCUGCUAAAGAGAUCUUCCACACCCAUGCGAGCCAGUACUUUCCAGCAUUUGGGAUAACGAGAGAGUGAUGUGUUGCAAGUCAUCAAAGGCCCAAAUAAGAGGGUUUCAUCACAUCCAUCAAACAACCAUCCACCAGUCUCUCCAUCCACUCACCUGUCCAUUGAUAUAUGGCACGCCAUCCAUACACACACCCAACCUUACAUACCUACCCCCUCUCUACCUACUCGUCCAUGACUUAACAACAUCCUGCCAUACUGGAUCACUCUGAUGGACCCUGAAGGCUAUCAUUACCAUGAAGGUGAUAUUACAUGUUAGUAAUUGGUUAGUGGUGUAAGGGAAAAAUAUAAAAGUUUUCUUCUACUUAUUCUGU